RNAcentral lists this unclassified non-coding RNA (385 nucleotides) under Hevea brasiliensis (rubber tree). Lineage: Eukaryota; Viridiplantae; Streptophyta; Magnoliopsida; Malpighiales; Euphorbiaceae. The record is from RNAcentral.
CGAGCAAAUGGGGCGUUGAACCUUGCACAUUUUGGUUCGGCGUUCGCGGUUCAGUACGGGAUCGGGCUUGUUGUCGGACAAUGGGCACCUCAAGACGGUCAUUAUCCGGUAAUGGCGUAUCAGUUUGCGUUUGGUCUCAGUGCAGCCUUUCAGGCAGCCGCAUUGCUCUGGUUCGCUGUGCCUUGGCUCCGAACGUUGAGCAGGCACCUUUACGCGUCGCUUACGCGGCCGUUUGCAGAGCGAGACAGCCAAGCGGAAUUUGUCAUGGUGCCCGUCGAGGGAUCUAUCCUCGAGGCGCGUGAGGCGGUGGAAUGGUAGACUGGCCGGCCUGUGCCUGGUUUCCAAGCCGUCUUUUGCGGCGAUCGGUGCUACGUUGGGAUUUCGA